Molecule: small RNA, 1085 nt
Filed under: uncultured bacterium
Lineage: Bacteria
Description: bacterial SSU rRNA
Rfam family: Bacterial small subunit ribosomal RNA (bases 1-487)
Source: RNAcentral
AUGGCUGUCGUCAGCUCGUGUCGUGAGAUGUUGGGUUAAGUCCCGCAACGAGCGCAACCCCUGCCAUUAAUUGCCAUCAUUUAGUUGGGCACUUUAAUGGGACUGCCGGUGACAAACCGGAGGAAGGUGGGGAUGACGUCAAGUCCUCAUGGCCCUUAUGGCCAGGGCUUCACACGUAAUACAAUGGUCGGUACAGAGGGACGCCAACCCGCGAGGGGGAGCUAAUCCCAGAAAGCCGAUCGUAGUCCGGAUUGUUGUCUGCAACUCGACAGCAUGAAGUCGGAAUCGCUAGUAAUCGCGGAUCAGCAUGUCGCGGUGAAUACGUUCCCGGGCCUUGUACACACCGCCCGUCACACCAUGGGAGUGGGUUUUACCAGAAGUAGUUAGUCUAACCGUAAGGGGGGCGAUUACCACGGUAGGAUUCACGACUGGGGUGAAGUCGUAACAAGGUAGCCGUAUCGGAAGGUGCGGCUGGAUCACCUCCUUUCUAGAGAAAACCUGUCUAUAAGCAUUCACACUUAUCAGUUAUUUAAAUUAGCACAAAGAUAUAAUCAGCCCAUUUAGGGUCUGUAGCUCAGCUGGUUAGAGCACCGUCUUGAUAAGGCGGGGGUCGAUGGUUCGAGUCCAUCCAGACCCACCAGAUUAAUUCAAGUAUCACUAUUUGUUUAAUUAAAGGGGGAUUAGCUCAGCUGGGAGAGCACCUGCUUUGCAAGCAGGGGGUCGGCGGUUCGAUCCCGCCUGGCUCCACCAGGUGAUAAACGAUAGUGAUUUAGACCGCUAUCGUUUAUUUCCUGACGAAGUCGGGUCAGCGGACGCUCUUUAACAAUUUAGUAGUAGUGAUAUACGACGGUGAAGUCGAGCCUGUUUCAGGCGAGGCUUUACUGGGUAUACCAGCAUUUAUCAGUAGAUGUAUUCGAUAUAUCCCAAAGGGAUCAGUCUUUUUGGGGUUAUAUGAUCAAGCGACCAAGCGCGCAUGGUGGAUGCCUAGGUGGUAAGAGGCGACGAAGGACGUUGUAGCCUGCGAUAAGCCUCGGGGAGCCGGCAAACAGGCUUUGAUCCGAGGAUUUCCGAAUGGGGAAACCCGG